Molecule: non-coding RNA, 26 nt
Filed under: Homo sapiens (human)
Lineage: Eukaryota; Metazoa; Chordata; Mammalia; Primates; Hominidae
Source: RNAcentral
UACCAACCUCGUCAUGACUGUGCUAA